AAACCCUAAUUCCUCCCAAAUCCCCGCCAGCGCCGCUCCCCCCUUCUACUCUCUCCACAAUCCCCUCCCCUCCCACCCCACCUCGCCGAGCCUCGAUCUGGCCGGAUCUUGCCAAUGCUCACACGGAUCCGGCCUAACCAUCCUGCAGCUGCGGUGGCGGGCCACCAGGACGGCGGCGGGAACCACCAACCCAUAUUGAGACCUCAACGACGGCGGGUACCAAGAACCGAUGCUGCAGCAACCGUGCGCGUCACAAGGAGGGCGGGUGUGGUUGCUGCCGGAGUAGUGAAUGCUGCGCUUGGCGUUGGACCAGCAGGGGUUGGGUGGGCCGCGACGCUUGAUUGGGUCGUUUCCAACUGCCCCGGCAUCGGUGGUGACGAGACGGUGCGCCGGCCAACAUGGCCAUUCAUGCGCAAGGACCCCAUGAAUCUCGUGUACGCGACCAAGGUGACCAUGCCGCUCGCAGCUCCAUCUAGUCAAUCCUCACUGUGGUCAUCGCUUUUGAUUUCAGCAUCGGCCGAUCUCUUUCUUUUCUUUCUGAACACUUUCGAUUGAUUAAGUUGUUUGGGCUGCCCAAAUUGAUGUUUGAAUGUGCCAAAGCUUCUACUCUGUAGGUGCCAGCGUUGAUGACAUAAUUUAUCAAUGGUGGGUUCAGUAGUAACUCAAAUCUGUUGCUGUGAAUGUGCCAGCGUGUGACGGAAUUUAUCAUUGGUGGGUCUAGUAGUAACUCAAAUCUGCUGCUAUGUUGUUUUCAGCCUGGUAAGAUAGUUGUUCAUGCCACUUGCUUAACUGUGUUACCUGUUUUCAACUAGUGUACAAACAAACAAACUCUAGACAUGCAUGAGUAGUGCAAGUAUGCAAUUGAUAGUGCAUCUUACCUGAGAUGGACAAAGUCUUGCUUUGUUUAAUUACACAUAAACAUGGAUGGUAAAAACAAAAUCCCGAUUGAUUACAGAGAAAGCAAGUUGAUACUCCCAUUACUAAGAACAAGCUUGGUUAGUUGAGAGUGUUCUAUGCGAACUUCAGUUAGUUUUCCUGCAUUUUACUAUUCAUAAAUCAUGCGUUCUGAACGCGGUAUAUUGAAUCAAUCCUAUGGAAACUUAGUUCCUAAAGUUUUCCCAUGGAAUUACUCCACUAAGAACAUGCCCUAAGUAGUUUUAUUUGUGAACUGACUAUGUACUAAUGUACAUUGGUCGGCAUUUUGUGUCACUUGUUCUAUGUUUCUGCUGUCUGUAGUUACCCAGUAAUCACCCGACAUUAAUCAUAAGGUUUUUUAUUUGCCCAAUUCUAUAGGUGAUAACAACCCAUUGUUUAUUUUUUAAGUUUGUUUUCAUCAGAAUUUUCAUCAUAAGUACCAAGGAAUUGAAGCAUAGUCACCAUUUUUUUGCUUGUAUAUGUGUGCAUUAGACGUUUUGUAAUUAACUCAUCAAAAAUUAAAAUUGGGUAUGUCCAUGCCAUAUAUGCUCUCUUCUAUUGAGACAUUAUGAUAUGCCACUUUUAGUGUCAUGUUAGCCUGGACAACCUUAUGGUCUGAACCAUUGUACUUGAUGGUUUCUGUCUGUGUAUCUAUGGAUGCACCCAAUAGGUUGUAUAGAAUGUUUAAUGUUUUUCUCAAAUAUGGAAAGUGAAGUUAUGGAAAAUUUCUUUUGAGUAAUUUGAUACUAUAAUAGGUAGUAAUAUAUUUAAUCACAUAUAUUGUCCUUUUGUCUUUCGUGUGGACAUACAUGUUACAUCGCUCACAGAAUGUUACUUGGCUCACUGAAAAUUUGCAUACUUAUCAAACAGCUGCUAAGCUCUCUUUACUUUGGGCACUGUUUACCAGCAUCUCAAUCCCGACCUAGCAGGCCUGCUUACCAGCAUCAACAUGUACUUCUCUCUCCACUUCUCGUCUAGCAAAAAUAUGGAACAUGCACAUUAACUCGUUGACAAGUUUGGUCCAAACAAUAUGGAACAUGGAGGGUGUCUUGUCCUGAGACCUGAGCCAUUCACAUGAUAUUCUAAAAUCCAGAAGAACUAGCUACUCAUAAGUGGAUGACAGUGAACAUGAGAAGCUAUGGUUUCCUGAUUUGUUGUUAUGUGUAGUGUUGUCAUGAAGCAUAGUGGUUCUGGCUUUGUGUAAAAUCAUUAUAAGUAUUGUACCUCUUUAGAGGAGUUCAACGUUGAACUAUGUAUGUGAUUCAUGUACCUGAUGUAUCCACUAUGAUGCCUAUUGCUGAAACGAAUAUAACAAUUUACUGAUAA
RNA transcript from Triticum aestivum (bread wheat), 2241 nucleotides. RefSeq lists it as uncharacterized. The record is from RefSeq and is a predicted model, not a curated record. NCBI's taxonomy places the organism in Eukaryota, Viridiplantae, Streptophyta, Magnoliopsida, Poales, Poaceae. The transcript has 3 exons.